AACACUGUUAACCUGCGGUACCUGCGGAAGGAUCAUUGAAGAACUUUUUGUGAUUUGAGGGGGGGGCAGGGCAGGGCGGGGGGGGGGCAGCCCAGCCCAGCCCAGCCCCGCCCUGCUCUCUUUCUCGAAUUACCAACCAACCAAUCUACAUGACUAGGAAAACAGACAAGCGGAGGGGGAAGCGCCUUGUUGUUGGCCUGGCUGGCCUGGCCCCUCCCGCAAACCAAAAGCUCUUGGCUG
This 240-nucleotide unclassified non-coding RNA is filed under the name soil metagenome. RNAcentral's name for it is "partial contains 5.8S ribosomal RNA, internal transcribed spacer 2, and large subunit ribosomal RNA". The record is from RNAcentral.